RNAcentral lists this ribosomal RNA (892 nucleotides) under Parabascus duboisi. RNAcentral's name for it is "partial large subunit ribosomal RNA". It matches the Rfam family "Eukaryotic large subunit ribosomal RNA", at positions 81 to 621 of the family's 3401-position model. The record is from RNAcentral. Lineage: Eukaryota; Metazoa; Platyhelminthes; Trematoda; Plagiorchiida; Pleurogenidae.
CAGUAACGCGAGUGAACAGGGAUUAGCCAGCACCGAAGCCUGUGGCCAUUUGGUCACUAGGCAAUGUGGUGUUUAGGUUGUUCCGCAAAGGCACUGCUCCAUCCUAAGUCCAACAAUGAGUACGGUAGUACGGACAUGGCCCGCAGAGGGUGAAAGGCCCGUGGGGGUGGAGAUCAUGUAGGCCAGUCCCUUUCUGGAUAGACCUUUGAGUCGGGUUGUUUGUGAAUGCAGCCCAAAGUGGGUGGUAAACUCCAUCCAAGGCUAAAUACAAGCACGAGUCCGAUAGCGAACAAGUACCGUGAGGGAAAGUUGAAAAGUACUUUGAAGAGAGAGUAAAUAGUGCGUGAAACCGGUCAGAGGUAAACGGGUGGAGUUGAACUGCAAGCUCUGGGAAUUCAGCUGGUGAGUAUGGUUUGAGCUUGGUUAAAUUGGUUGGGCCCUGAAGUCUGCGUAGCAGCAGGCCUUUGCCUUUCGGGGUGAGGGUGCGCGAUACACUUAUCAGGUGUUGCGCGCUUCGGGUGUUCAUCGAGCCGGCUCGCUAGUGCACUUUCUCAGAGUAGUCACCACGACCGGCACUGCUGUCUGACUGUUGUGGUUAAACCGUUCUUGCAUUGUCCUCGUGGCUCUGCUUGAUCGGGAAGGCAGGUAGCUCGUUGACUUGCUCGCGGCUCGCUGUGGGCAUUGGGUCAUUGAGUGUAAUCAGCUGACCACAUCGGUUCUGUGCAGUGUGUCGGAGACGGCGGCUUUUGUGUGUGCGUGCGUGCCUGUUUGGCCAGCGUGUCCGGGUUUGGUUGUUACGUUGCCUGUUUGUGCAGGCCUGAUAAUAACUCGGAUUCGUUUGGUCAGCGGUUGCGUGCGUUUCACAGUUCAUGGGCCAAUAGUCUUGUGUGUA